Long non-coding RNA from Sapajus apella (tufted capuchin), 475 nucleotides. RefSeq lists it as uncharacterized. NCBI's taxonomy places the organism in Eukaryota, Metazoa, Chordata, Mammalia, Primates, Cebidae. The transcript is spliced from 3 exons. The record is from RefSeq and is a predicted model, not a curated record.
UUUUUCUCCCUCAAGCAGUAGAUCACAACAGUGGGCUUAAACUAUGCAGUAAACCAUCCUGUAAACAGAUGUGCUGUCAUCUAAGCUUUGUAGUUCCAUUUAUAGAGCACAGGCAGAGUAGAUUUAGCAGAAUAAUUAAGGGCCUUAGGAUUUUGGGGAGAGUAAAUGAGCACUGGCUUCAACUUAAUGUCACCAGUUGCAUUGAGCCCCUAAAAGGAAAGUUAGCCUGUCCCUUGAAGGUAAGCAUUGACUUCUCCUCUCUAGUUAUGAAAGUCUAUUGCAUCUUCUUGCAAGAGAAGGCUGCUCCAUUUACAUUUGAAAAUCUGUUGUUUAGUGUAGCCACCUUUAUUGGUGAUCUUAGCUAGGUCUUCCAGACAACUUGCUGCAGUUUCUACAUUAGCACUUGCUGUUUCACUUUGUACUUUCAUGUUAUGGAGGUGGCUUUUCCUUAAACCUCAUGCACCAACCUCUGUUA